RNAcentral lists this ribosomal RNA (303 nucleotides) under uncultured bacterium. Its description in RNAcentral is "bacterial SSU rRNA". It matches the Rfam family "Bacterial small subunit ribosomal RNA", at positions 355 to 655 of the family's 1533-position model. The record is from RNAcentral.
UGAGGAAUAUUGGUCAAUGGGCGCGAGCCUGAACCAGCCAAGUCGCGUGAGGGAGGACGGCCCUACGGGUUGUAAACCUCUUUUGCCGGGGAGCAACGGGCGUCACGUGUGGCGCCACUGAGAGUACCCGGAGAAAAAGCAUCGGCUAACUCCGUGCCAGCAGCCGCGGUAAUACGGAGGAUGCGAGCGUUAUCCGGAUUUAUUGGGUUUAAAGGGUGCGUAGGCGGAUCGUUAAGUCAGUGGUCAAAUUGAGGGGCUCAACCCCUUCCCGCCAUUGAAACUGGCGAUCUUGAGUGGAAGAGA